This 492-nucleotide ribosomal RNA is filed under the name uncultured bacterium. RNAcentral describes it as "partial 16S ribosomal RNA". It matches the Rfam family "Bacterial small subunit ribosomal RNA", at positions 29 to 507 of the family's 1533-position model. The record is from RNAcentral.
AGUGAACGCUGGCGGUAGGCCUAACACAUGCAAGUCGAACGGCAGCACAGUAAGAGCUUGCUCUUACGGGUGGCGAGUGGCGGACGGGUGAGGAAUACAUCGGAAUCUACUUUUUCGUGGGGGAUAACGUAGGGAGACUUACGCUAAUACCACAUACGACCUACGGGUGAAAUCAGGGGAUCUUCGGACCUUUCGCGAUUGAAUGAGCCGAUGUCGGAUUAGCUAGUUGGCGGGGUAAAGGCCCACCAAGGCGACGAUCCGUAGCUGGUCUGAGAGGAUGAUCGGCCACACUGGAACUGAGACACGGUCCAGACUCCUACGGGAGGCAGCAGUGGGGAAUAUUGGACAAUGGGCGCAAGCCUGAUCCAGCCAUACCGCGUGGGUGAAGAAGGCCUUCGGGUUGUAAAGCCCUUUUGUUGGGAAAGAAAAGCAGCAGGUUAAUACCCCGCUGUUCUGACGGUACCCAAAGAAUAAGCACCGGCUAACUUCGUG